Molecule: ribosomal RNA, 783 nt
Filed under: Vibrio parahaemolyticus
Lineage: Bacteria; Pseudomonadati; Pseudomonadota; Gammaproteobacteria; Vibrionales; Vibrionaceae
Description: partial 23S ribosomal RNA
Rfam family: Bacterial large subunit ribosomal RNA
Source: RNAcentral
CCUCCAAGGCUAAAUACUACUGACUGACCGAUAGUGAACCAGUACCGUGAGGGAAAGGCGAAAAGAACCCCUGUGAGGGGAGUGAAAUAGAACCUGAAACCGUGUACGUACAAGCAGUAGGAGCAGGCUUUGUCCUGUGACUGCGUACCUUUUGUAUAAUGGGUCAGCGACUUAUAUUCAGUGGCAAGGUUAACCAUCUAGGGGAGCCGUAGGGAAACCGAGUCUUAACUGGGCGUUCAGUCUCUGGAUAUAGACCCGAAACCAGGUGAUCUAGCCAUGGGCAGGUUGAAGGUUGAGUAACAUCAACUGGAGGACCGAACCGACUAAUGUUGAAAAAUUAGCGGAUGACUUGUGGCUAGGGGUGAAAGGCCAAUCAAACCUGGAGAUAGCUGGUUCUCCCCGAAAGCUAUUUAGGUAGCGCCUCGGACGAAUACUACUGGGGGUAGAGCACUGUUAAGGCUAGGGGGUCAUCCCGACUUACCAACCCUUUGCAAACUCCGAAUACCAGUAAGUACUAUCCGGGAGACACACGGCGGGUGCUAACGUCCGUCGUGGAGAGGGAAACAACCCAGACCGCCAGCUAAGGUCCCAAAUUACUACUAAGUGGGAAACGAUGUGGGAAGGCUCAGACAGCCAGGAUGUUGGCUUAGAAGCAGCCAUCAUUUAAAGAAAGCGUAAUAGCUCACUGGUCGAGUCGGCCUGCGCGGAAGAUGUAACGGGGCUAAGUAGUAAACCGAAGCUGCGGCAAUAUACUUUUGUAUAUUGGGUAGGGGAGCGUUCUGU